UAUGAGAAUCAAAGAUGGGACCUUGC
This 26-nucleotide non-coding RNA is filed under the name Mus musculus (house mouse). The record is from RNAcentral. Lineage: Eukaryota; Metazoa; Chordata; Mammalia; Rodentia; Muridae.